This is a non-coding RNA of Callithrix jacchus (white-tufted-ear marmoset), 5051 nucleotides long. NCBI's taxonomy places the organism in Eukaryota, Metazoa, Chordata, Mammalia, Primates, Cebidae. The record is from RefSeq and is a predicted model, not a curated record.
AUAGCCUUCUUUCUUAAUUUCAGUUCCGUUUUCAUUUUGAAUGAAAAAAAUUACCUGAUUUACCAUACUGUGUGACUGCUUCUUGAACUGGAGAGAUGCAGCCUGUAGGCAACAAGGGAAUUCAUUUCUUCUGGAAUCAUCUUGGGGGACCAGGAAGCGCUCUCCAGUGUUGUUUUCUAGCCUCAUGAAUGCCAGGGCUACAUUGGCCAAAUUAUGCAGGGAUUCAAAGGGCCAUAUUCUUCCUUGUUUGUUGAGUUUGACCCCUCUUAAUUGGGAGGUGGUUCUUCAUGUCUUGUCUAACUCCACAGCCACCAAGUUAGAAGAUUAUAGACUAUUUGCUUUGCAAAGAACUAGAGAAGUCACUGGCUUGUCACUUCAUUUUAUAGUUGAGGAAACUGAGGUCCUCAGAGGAAGAGCAACUUGGAAACAGUCUGCAUCAGAACUAAUAGUGGAGUCCAAUUUCUCCCAUCUGUGAUCUAGAGAUUUUUGUGCUAUACAGCUGGUCUACAAAUACCAUCCUGUCGGUCAGUUUUGUGCUCAGUAGAGAUGGGAAACAGCUGUUUAAAAUGAUGUGCUUACAGGAUUUCUCCCUUCCUUAAAUAGUAACAGUAACUUGUAAGAAAUUAGUAAUUUGUUAAAUGUAUUAUAAUGACUAUGCCUUUAAUUAAUUGUAGGUUUAAUUCCAUUAGAAACAUAUUACUUGCUAAUUAUCAAGCAGUGCUGUUCAGUAGUGUGAGCCACACACAUAAUUUAAAAUUUUCUAGUAGCCACAUUGAAAAAAGUAAAAAGAAAUAGAUGAAAUUUGUUUUAGUAAUAUUUUUAACCCAAUACAUUCAAAAUAUUAUUUCAACAUGUAUUCUGUAUAAAAAAUAAUAAUGAGGGCCCUGCCUGCCGCACCUCUCCUUCUAUAUCUCCAGCCAAAGCCGCAGGCCUGGCCCGGAUCCCGGCACCAUGAGCUUCGGCUCGGAGCACUAUCUGUGCUGCUCCUCCUCCUACCGCAAGGUGUUCGGGGACGGCUCCCGCCUGUCCGCGCACCUCUCCGGGGCCGGCGGUGCGGGCGGCUUCCGUUCACAGUCCCUGUCCCUGUCCAGCAGCAAUGUGGCUUCCUCGACCGCCUGCUCCUUGGCCUUGUAGCUCGGCCUCGGCCUGGCCUAUCGCCGGCAUCCGAUGGGCUGGACCUGAGCCAGGCGGCGGCGUGCACCAACUAGUACAAGAUCAUCCGCACCAACGAGAAGGACCAGCUGCAGGGACUCAGCGACCGCUUUGCGGUGUUCUUCGAGAAGGUGCAUCAGCUGGAGACGCAGAACCACGCCUGGAGGCCGAGCUGGCUGCGCUGUGGCAGCGCCACGCUGAGCGGUUGCGCGUCGGCGAGCUCUUCCAGCGCGAGCUGCGAGACCUGGGCGCGCAGCUGGAGGAGGCGACCUCGGCACACAUGCAGGCCCUGCUGGAGCGCGACGGGCUGGCCGAGGAGGUGCAGCAGCUGCGGGCGCACUGUAAGGAGGAGAGCCGUGGUCCUGAAGGUGCCGAGCACGCCCUGAAGGCGCAGCAGUGCGAUGUGGACGGCGCCAUGCUGGCCCGCCUGGACCUGGAGAAGGUGGAGUUGCUGCUGGACGAGCUGGCUUUCGUGCGCCAGGUGCGCGACGAGGAGGUAGCCGAGCUGCUGGCCACGCAGCAGGCGUCAUCACAGGCCGCGGCCGAGGUGGACAUGGCUUUGGCUAAACCAGACCUGAGCUCGGCGCUGAGGGAGAUCCGUGCCUAACAUGAGUCCCUGGCUGCUAAGAACCUGCAGUCCGCGGAGGAAUGGUACAAGUCCAAGUUCGCCAACCUGAACGAGCAGGCGGCGUGCAGCACCGAGGCCAUCCGAGCCAGCCGCGAGGAGAUCCACGAGUACCGGCGCCAGCUGCAGGCGCGCACCAUCGAGACCGAGGGCCUGUGCGGGGCCAGCGAGUCCUUGGAGAGGCAGAUCCUGGAACUGGAGGAGCGGCACAAUGCCGAGGUGGCUGGCUACCAGGAUAGCAUUGGGCAGCUAGAGAAUGAUCUGAGGAACACCAAGAGUGAGAUGGCACGCCACCUUCGGCAAUACCAGGACUUGCUCAAUGUCAAAAUGGCUCUUGACAUUGAGAUAGCAGCUUACAGGAAACUGCUGGAAGGCGAAGAGACACGUUUUAGCACCAGUGGGUUAAGCAUUUCGGGACUGCAUCCACUUCCCAAUCCAAGUUAUCUGCUCCCAUCUAGAAUCCUCAGUUCAACCUCCAAAGUCUCAUCCACUGGGCUAUCACUUAAGAAAGAGGAAGAGGAGGAGGAGGCAUCUAAGGUAGCCUCUAAGAAAACCUCCCAGAUAGGGGAAAGUUUUGAAGACAUAUUAGAGGAGACAGUAAUAUCUACUAAGAAAACUGAGAAAUCAGAUAUAGAAGAAACUACCAUUUUGAGCCAAAAAAUAUAAUUCCAUUGCUUUGAAAGAGUUAAUGCUUAAGAGGGAAUGAUAUGCAUUUGACCUGUUAAACAGCCUGUUCCUGAAACGUAGCACCUACCACACCACUAUGAAAUGUCUUCAAGGCUUCAGUCUCAUAUUUAGUAUUGAAUACUUACAUUCUUUAAUAAGAAAACCACCCCUUAGAUUGAAGUGAACUACAGUCCUGGAGCGAUCACAGAUGAGUUAUCUAAGAAUACAGCUUUCAGACCUUCAGCUCGCGCUUCACAGUGAUUGAUGAUUCAGGUGCAGAGGAAGUACAAUCUAAGGUGCUAAAUCUGUGACCAUCGUCAUUUGCUGUGAACUGAAAUCAUUCACUCCACCCAGCCAUUAUCCAGCUAAAUGAUCUUACUCUAGAUACCUAAAACAUAAGAUCAGUGCCAAAGAUAAACUAAUGGUCCACACCCAGUUCCACUCUGAUAGAACUGUUUCCCAAAUAAUAGGUGUUUGUUUAAUGGACACUUUCCACCUCCCUCAAUUCCAUAUAUCCUUUUCUUCCAUGCAGGAAAAAAAAAAAUAGUCUACUGUAGUAUUCUUCCCUUUUAAACACAUUUUGGUUCUUCUCAAAAUAACUUACCCUGUUGGCUCUCUUUGCUCAGUGGCUAAAAUUAGAUGCAUGUUGACCAUGUCUAUGAUUCGUGUAAUGACUCAUCCCUGCCCAUUUCAUAUUCUUUCAAUUCUGUAGGUUAAAAAAAAAUGGCAGUGAUGAAUUUUAAGGGUUUUCCCCAACAAAUAAAAUAAUGAAAAGAAUCCCUAGACUUUAGGCUUUCAGCUUACACAAAUCCAUUUAAUUAGGAGAAAAAAACUAUUAAGGAUGUAGUUUUUCACCUUUACUUUAGAAGCUCAGUAAAUAGUUAUCCACACUGUGAUUAAGCUGAACUUACAUUUACUAGUAUAAGCUAGAAGAAGUGAGUGUUUCUAUGAGUGGAAAAAGCCAAGGUGUCAUUUAUGUGUCAGUUCAUUUGUGGUGAUAUAGAAUUAGCUUUUUCAUGCCCUUACCCUUAGAAUCCACUCAUUGCCUUUCCCACUAGUCUAGGUCCUAAAGAGGCCUUGCUUUCACUCUCGUAUGCCUUUUACGAGUACUAAGUAUAGGAUAUUUUGUCACCAGAACACAAUGCUAUUGCCCCAAAGUAAAAGAAACCACUUCUGGUCGAUCAAUACCACCAACAAAUAUAAAAAAGGAAAUCUUUCUCUUUUCUAAAAGACUUCCCCAACAUUUAUCCCAUGGCUGCACAGUUGGUAGGGUCCUGCUGGAGAGGAAGAGACACUCAGACCAGAGGAGGGGUGUGCAUGCGCCUACUGGCUUGCUAGAAGUAGAUUCUGGACAGUCAGCACUUCGUCUGCCCAACUGUGUAGCAUCUGCGUUGCCCAGUCUUUCACUUGUGCCAAGGCUGAUGCAGGGUUUGUUCUCUGUCCAGCAGUCACUUCUGCCAGAGCUAAGUAGUUGCCCCGUCUUUCUUCCAUGUCUCCUUUAAGAGCUCUGGUGAUAAGGACAUGAUGCUUUUACUGAACUUUCUUAUCCGAGCACAUGCUUCAAAUAGUUCAAGGAACUUGAAAGAUACUUUUCUCUUCCUUACCUUUACCCCAUCCCUAUCUUUACUCCUCACCCUUACUGUAAGACAUUAGUAAAAUAAGAAAUUAAAAGUCACAUGAAUCACACCAAAAAAAAAAAUAAUGAGAUAUUUCACAUUUAUCUUUUGCACUAAGUCUUUGAAAUCUCGUGUGUGUUUUACAUUUAAAGCACACCUCAGUUCAGUUUGGUCACAUUUCAAGUGUUAGUGGCCCAUGGGGCUAGAGUCCUAUAUUGGACAGCAUUGCACAGAGCAACUUCGGGCAGAAAAGUAGAUGGAAAAACAUGUUAAAGACAUGCCUACCAGAGAUAAACACUAUCAAUGUUUUAAUUCACUUCUGCCAGCCUUUUUCCCCUGUGCAUACUUUUCUGGUGGGUGUUAUACAUGGUUGAGAUUGUACUCUAGGUUCAGAUUUGCACUCUGCUGUGUAGUUGGUUUGAGGACCACUGGACUUACAGAAGAAAUAGUAGACCUCACUUUAGUCCUGGUUGUGCUGUUAUAUAGUCACUUAUUAAGCUACAUCAGCAUUUGUUCUUUAUCUGUAAAAGGGAGGUGUUGAAGUAUAUGAUCUUUGAUUCUUUUUAAGUUAUUUUGAAUGUGCAAGUCAGCUUUAACCAAAGUUUAAUAAAGAGCGCUCUGCCUUAACACUUAGAGAGUACGAAGAGACUCCAGUACUUUCUGACUUAAACUGUACUCUUGGCUUUCUUUUUCCUCCAAUAUUUUAUCAUGAACAUUUUCAAACCUACAGAAAAGUUGAAACAAUUUUAGUUAACACUAAAGGUGGUGCAGCUACUCUACCCACCACUAGAUUCCACUGUUACAUUUGUAGUAUACUUGCUUCCUCAUUUUUAUCUGUCCAUCCAUUCAUCCGUCUUAUUUUUUUUGUAUUUCAAAGUAAGUCGCAGACAUCCCUAUGCUUUCCCCUAAGUAUACUCUUUACUUUUGAACCAGAGGUCUGGCAUCUUACGCACCUGACCAUGUUUCUAUGUCCUAAUUUGAUGCUUUGUUUU